CCCGCACAAGCGGUGGAGCAUGUGGUUUAAUUCAAAGCAACGCGAAGAACCUUACCAGGUCUUGACAUCCCCUGACAACCCGAGAGAUCGGGCGUUCCCCUUCGGGGGGACAGGGUGACAGGUGGUGCAUGGUUGUCGUCAGCUCGUGUCGUGAGAUGUUGGGUUAAGUCCCGCAACGAGCGCAACCCUCGACCUUAGUUGCCAGCAUUCAGUUGGGCACUCUAAGGUGACUGCCGGCUAAAAGUCGGAGGAAGUGGGAUGACGUCAAGUCAGCAUGGCCUUUAUGUUCUGGGCUACACACGUGCUACAAUGGCCGGUACAGACGGACGCAAAGCCGCGAGGUGGAGCAAAUCCUAAAAAGCCGGUCUCAGUUCGGAUUGCAGGCUGCAAUUCGCCUGCAUGAAGUCGGAAUCGCUAGUAAUCGCAGGUCAGCAUACUGCGGUGAAUACGUUCCCGGGCCUU
RNAcentral lists this ribosomal RNA (462 nucleotides) under uncultured Geobacillus sp. RNAcentral describes it as "bacterial SSU rRNA". It matches the Rfam family "Bacterial small subunit ribosomal RNA", at positions 920 to 1382 of the family's 1533-position model. Lineage: Bacteria; Bacillati; Bacillota; Bacilli; Caryophanales; Anoxybacillaceae. The record is from RNAcentral.